UACGAAGGUCCCAAGCGUUAUCCGGAUUUAUUGGGUUUAAAGGGUGCGUAGGCGGGUUAUUAAGUCAGUGGUGAAAGCCUUCAGCUUAACUGAAGAAUUGCCAUUGAUACUGAUGAUCUUGAGUAUGAUUGAGGUGGGCGGAAUGUGUCAUGUAGCGGUGGAAUGCUUAGAUAUGACACAGAACACCGAUUGCGAAGGCAGCUCACUAAGUCAUAACUGACGCUGAUGCACGAAAGCGUGGGGAGCAAACAGG
Molecule: ribosomal RNA, 253 nt
Filed under: uncultured bacterium
Lineage: Bacteria
Description: partial 16S ribosomal RNA
Rfam family: Bacterial small subunit ribosomal RNA
Source: RNAcentral